CAGAGGGUGCAAGCGUUAAUCGGAAUUACUGGGCGUAAAGCGUGCGUAGACGGUUAUUUAAGUCGGGUGUGAAAGCCCCGGGCUCAACCUGGGAAUUGCAUUCGAGACUGAAUAGCUAGGGUGCGGAAGAGGGAAGCGGAAUUUCCGGUGUAGCGGUGAAAUGCGUAGAUAUCGGAAGGAACACCAGUGGCGAAAGCGGCUUCCUGGUCCAGCACCGACGUUCAGGCACGAAAGCGUGGGGAGCAAACAGGAUUAGAUACCCUGGUAGUCCACGCCAUAAACGAUGAGAACUAGACGUUGAGAGGGUAAGCCUCCCAGUGUCGAAGCUAACGCGAUAAGUUCUCCGCCUGGGGAGUACGGCCGCAAGGUUG
Molecule: ribosomal RNA, 371 nt
Filed under: uncultured organism
Description: bacterial SSU rRNA
Rfam family: Bacterial small subunit ribosomal RNA
Source: RNAcentral